CAGUCGCCACGGUAAUACGAAGGGGGCUAGCGUUGUUCGGAAUUACUGGGCGUAAAGCGCGCGCAGGCGGUUCUCCAAGUCAGUGGUGAAAGCCCGGAGCUCAACUCCGGAGCUGCCAUUGAAACUGUUAAACUUGAGGACGAGAGAGGUGAGUGGAAUUCCCAGUGUAGAGGUGAAAUGCGCAGAUAUCAGGAGGAACACCGGUGGCGAAGGCGGUUCUCUGGCAAUGUUCUGACGCUGAGGAGCGAAAGUGUGGGGAGCGAACAGGAUUAGAUACCCCUGUAGUCCCUGUCUCUUAUAC
This 301-nucleotide ribosomal RNA is filed under the name uncultured bacterium. Its description in RNAcentral is "partial 16S ribosomal RNA". It matches the Rfam family "Bacterial small subunit ribosomal RNA", at positions 509 to 807 of the family's 1533-position model. The record is from RNAcentral.